UACAGAGGUCUCAAGCGUUGUUCGGAUUCAUUGGGCGUAAAGGGUGCGUAGGUGGCGCGUUAAGUCAGGUGUGAAAUUUCGGAGCUUAACUGCGAAACUGCAUUUGAUACUGGCGUGCUUGAGGACUGGAGAGGAGACUGGAAUUCAUGGUGUAGCAGUGAAAUGCGUAGAGAUCAUGAGGAAGACCAGUGGCGAAGGCGGGUCUCUGGACAGUUCCUGACACUGAGGCGCGAAGGCCAGGGGAGCAAACGGG
Molecule: ribosomal RNA, 253 nt
Filed under: uncultured bacterium
Lineage: Bacteria
Description: partial 16S ribosomal RNA
Rfam family: Bacterial small subunit ribosomal RNA
Source: RNAcentral